UGCGAUAAGCGCCGGUAAGGUGAUAUGAACCGUUAUAACCGGCGAUUUCCGAAUGGGGAAACCCAGUGUGAUUCGUCACACUAUCAUUAACUGAAUCCAUAGGUUAAUGAGGCGAACCGGGGGAACUGAAACAUCUAAGUACCCCGAGGAAAAGAAAUCAACCGAGAUUCCCCCAGUAGCGGCGAGCGAACGGGGAGGAGCCCAGAGCCUGAAUCAGCAUGUGUGUUAGUGGAAGCGUCUGGAAAGGCGCGCGAUACAGGGUGACAGCCCCGUACACAAAAGCGCAUGUGCUGUGAGCUCGAUGAGUAGGGCGGGACACGUGGUAUCCUGUCUGAAUAUGGGGGGACCAUCCUCCAAGGCUAAAUACUCCUGACUGACCGAUAGUGAACCAGUACCGUGAGGGAAAGGCGAAAAGAACCCCGGCGAGGGGAGUGAAAAAGAACCUGAAACCGUGUACGUACAAGCAGUGGGAGCACCCUUCGGGGUGUGACUGCGUACCUUUUGUAUAAUGGGUCAGCGACUUAUAUUCUGUAGCAAGGUUAACCGUAUAGGGGAGCCGUAGGGAAACCGAGUCUUAACCGGGCGUUAAGUUGCAGGGUAUAGACCCGAAACCCGGUGAUCUAGCCAUGGGCAGGUUGAAGGUUGGGUAACACUAACUGGAGGACCGAACCGACUAAUGUUGAAAAAUUAGCGGAUGACCUGUGGCUGGGGGUGAAAGGCCAAUCAAACCGGGAGAUAGCUGGUUCUCCCCGAAAGCUAUUUAGGUAGCGCCUCGUGAAUUCAUCUCCGGGGGUAGAGCACUGUUUCGGCUAGGGGGCCAUCCCGGCUUACCAACCCGAUGCAAACUGCGAAUACCGGAGAAUGUUAUCACGGGAGACACACGGCGGGUGCUAACGUCCGUCGUGAAGAGGGAAACAACCCAGACCGCCAGCUAAGGUCCCAAAGUCAUGGUUAAGUGGGAAACGAUGUGGGAAGGCCCAGACAGCCAGGAUGUUGGCUUAGAAGCAGCCAUCAUUUAAAGAAAGCGUAAUAGCUCACUGGUCGAGUCGGCCUGCGCGGAAGAUGUAACGGGGCUAAACCAUGCACCGAAGCUGCGGCAGCGACACUGUGUGUUGUUGGGUAGGGGAGCGUUCUGUAAGCCUGUGAAGGUGGCCUGUGAGGGUUGCUGGAGGUAUCAGAAGUGCGAAUGCUGACAUAAGUAACGAUAAAGCGGGUGAAAAGCCCGCUCGCCGGAAGACCAAGGGUUCCUGUCCAACGUUAAUCGGGGCAGGGUGAGUCGACCCCUAAGGCGAGGCCGAAAGGCGUAGUCGAUGGGAAACGGGUUAAUAUUCCCGUACUUGGUGUUACUGCGAAGGGGGGACGGAGAAGGCUAUGUUGGCCGGGCGACGGUUGUCCCGGUUUAAGCGUGUAGGUGUGUGUUCCAGGUAAAUCCGGUUCACUUUAACACUGAGGCGUGACGACGAGGCACUACGGUGCUGAAGCAACAAAUGCCCUGCUUCCAGGAAAAGCCUCUAAGCAUCAGGUAACAUCAAAUCGUACCCCAAACCGACACAGGUGGUCAGGUAGAGAAUACCAAGGCGCUUGAGAGAACUCGGGUGAAGGAACUAGGCAAAAUGGUGCCGUAACUUCGGGAGAAGGCACGCUGACACGUAGGUGAAGUGAUUUACUCA
RNAcentral lists this ribosomal RNA (1670 nucleotides) under Salmonella enterica subsp. enterica serovar Virchow. RNAcentral's name for it is "partial 23S ribosomal RNA". It matches the Rfam family "Bacterial large subunit ribosomal RNA", at positions 67 to 1772 of the family's 2925-position model. Lineage: Bacteria; Pseudomonadati; Pseudomonadota; Gammaproteobacteria; Enterobacterales; Enterobacteriaceae. The record is from RNAcentral.